AUCUUUGCACGAAAUUAAGGUUGUGUUACAAUUUAAAAAAACACAUUAAAAGGGAAUCAAGUAUAAUAAAUUCUUGAGCUGUACCCGCAACUGUAAGCUUUGUUCUAAAAAGUAUGCUUGUUGUUAUCUACAAAACCACUGCUCGCCCCGGCGAAUGGGAAGGUAAACAACAAGACGCAAGCCAGGAGACCUGCCUUUGUAACUAAUAUCGA
Molecule: non-coding RNA, 212 nt
Filed under: Flavobacterium hibernum
Lineage: Bacteria; Pseudomonadati; Bacteroidota; Flavobacteriia; Flavobacteriales; Flavobacteriaceae
Source: RNAcentral